Long non-coding RNA from Stegostoma tigrinum, 276 nucleotides. RefSeq lists it as uncharacterized. The record is from RefSeq and is a predicted model, not a curated record. Lineage: Eukaryota; Metazoa; Chordata; Chondrichthyes; Orectolobiformes; Stegostomatidae. The transcript has 3 exons.
ACAAGCUGUUGGUGUCCCUGAGCUCCCAAGCAAGGUUUUAAUGAGCCGAAACGACAUAUGAGGUGCUCAGAAAGUAGGAGUAUUGAUGUGCACUGACUGACACCAAUCUGGGAGCAGAAAAUUCCACCCCAAGUAUUCUAAUGUGGCCAUGGAUUAAUAAAUAUCGUGGAGUUUAUAUAGCUGACCAAUGGCAGACAUCUCUGACUUUAAGAGGCUUAUAUGAAGUUUCAGUGGGCAGCUUGAAAUUGUCCAAAGGCGUUUACUACACAGCUGUGU